CCUACGGGGGGCAGCAGUGAGGAAUAUUGGUCAAUGGACGAGAGUCUGAACCAGCCAAGUAGCGUGAAGGAUGACUGCCCUAUGGGUUGUAAACUUCUUUUAUAUGGGAAUAAAAUGUUCCACGUGUGGGAUUUUAUAUGUACCAUAUGAAUAAGGAUCGGCUAACUCCGUGCCAGCAGCCGCGGUAAUACGGAGGAUCCGAGCGUUAUCCGGAUUUAUUGGGUUUAAAGGGAGCGUAGGUGGAUUGUUAAGUCAGUUGUGAAAGUUUGCGGCUCAACCGUAAAAUUGCAGUUGAAACUGGCAGCCUUGAGUACAGUAGAGGUGGGCGGAAUUCGUGGUGUAGCGGUGAAAUGCUUAGAUAUCACGAAGAACUCCGAUUGCGAAGGCAGCUUACUGGACUGCAACUGACACUGAGGCUCGAAAGUGUGGGUAUCAAACAGGAUUAGAUACCCUAGUAGUC
RNAcentral lists this ribosomal RNA (460 nucleotides) under uncultured bacterium. RNAcentral's name for it is "partial 16S ribosomal RNA". It matches the Rfam family "Bacterial small subunit ribosomal RNA", at positions 338 to 795 of the family's 1533-position model. The record is from RNAcentral.